UAGGGAAUCUUCGGCAAUGGGGGCAACCCUGACCGAGCAACGCCGCGUGAGUGAAGAAGGUUUUCGGAUCGUAAAGCUCUGUUGUAAGUCAAGAACGAGUGUGAGAGUGGAAAGUUCACACUGUGACGGUAGCUUACCAGAAAGGGACGGCUAACUACGUGCCAGCAGCCGCGGUAAUACGUAGGUCCCGAGCGUUGUCCGGAUUUAUUGGGCGUAAAGCGAGCGCAGGCGGUUUGAUAAGUCUGAAGUUAAAGGCUGUGGCUCAACCAUAGUUCGCUUUGGAAACUGUCAAACUUGAGUGCAGAAGGGGAGAGUGGAAUUCCAUGUGUAGCGGUGAAAUGCGUAGAUAUAUGGAGGAACACCGGUGGCGAAAGCGGCUCUCUGGUCUGUAACUGACGCUGAGACUCGAAAGCGUGGGGAGCGAACAGGAUUAGAUACCCUGGUAGUCCACGCCGUAAACGAUGAGUGCUAGGUGUUGGAGGGUUUCCGCCCUUCAGUGCCGGAGCUAACGCAUUAAGCACUCCGCCUGGGGAGUACGACCGCAAGGUUG
RNAcentral lists this ribosomal RNA (550 nucleotides) under uncultured bacterium. Its description in RNAcentral is "bacterial SSU rRNA". It matches the Rfam family "Bacterial small subunit ribosomal RNA", at positions 355 to 896 of the family's 1533-position model. The record is from RNAcentral.